RNAcentral lists this transfer RNA (73 nucleotides) under Oreochromis niloticus (Nile tilapia). It matches the Rfam family "tRNA". From Rfam's summary of the family: Transfer RNA (tRNA) molecules are approximately 80 nucleotides in length. Their secondary structure includes four short double-helical elements and three loops (D, anti-codon, and T loops). Further hydrogen bonds mediate the characteristic L-shaped molecular structure. tRNAs have two regions of fundamental functional importance: the anti-codon, which is responsible for specific mRNA codon recognition, and the 3' end, to which the tRNAs corresponding amino acid is attached (by aminoacyl-tRNA synthetases). tRNAs cope with the degeneracy of the genetic code in two manners: having more than one tRNA (with a specific anti-codon) for a particular amino acid; and 'wobble' base-pairing, i.e. permitting non-standard base-pairing at the 3rd anti-codon position. RNAcentral also lists the same sequence under 1 other name. Lineage: Eukaryota; Metazoa; Chordata; Actinopteri; Cichliformes; Cichlidae. The record is from Rfam by way of RNAcentral.
GGCUUCAUAGUAUAGUAGGAAAUACAUUUGCUUGGCAAGUGAAAAGUUGCUGGUUUGAUUCCACUUGGAAAUA